Unclassified non-coding RNA from Pongo abelii (Sumatran orangutan), 117 nucleotides. It matches the Rfam family "Metazoan signal recognition particle RNA". From Rfam's summary of the family: The signal recognition particle (SRP) is a universally conserved ribonucleoprotein. It is involved in the co-translational targeting of proteins to membranes. The record is from Ensembl. Lineage: Eukaryota; Metazoa; Chordata; Mammalia; Primates; Hominidae.
GCCAGGUGUGGCGGCUCAUGCCUGUAAUCCUAGCACUUUGGGAGGCUGAGGCAGGAGGAUCCCUUGAGCCCAGGAGUUCAAGACUAGCCUGGGCAACAUAGGGAGACCCUGUCUCUU